UCUCUGGCUUGGUUCACAGGCCACUGUGCAGCUGGGACAUGUGGAUGACAGAGGUGAGCUCCUGCUGCAGGGGACAACCACCCCGAAGUGGCGGAACAAGCAUUCCCAAAGCGCUGUGCUCUGCUGACCAGGUCUUGUCUUGAGCCUUCUUCCCCACAAUCCGCUGAAAGAACUAAAAAUGGAAAAAAAUAAAAGAGAGCAAAAAGGAAACAGGAAAACCUCAUAGGAGCGCUAAAGAGGAGGAGAAGGUACCACUGACAUAUGAGAAAUGUGAAACUUGGGGAAUGUGUGAAACAGAACGAACUAGAUUGAAGCAAAACUAGUCAGACUUGAAUAGCAGGUGAAGUUCGAGCCUCUUGAGAAAUUCCACAUAUAACAGAAGAAAGAAUGAAAAUAAAUUAACCCUGUCUGUCUUUGUCACCUAGUGGUCAUGUGGAGUGCUGUGUUAGGAAGGAGUCUGAAGAGUCUACAUUGUCCCUUGAAUAACAUGGGUUUGAACUACGUGGGUCCAGUUAUACAUGGACUUUUCUCAAUAAAUAUAUAAAAAAUAUGUGCAGAACAUCAUGUGCAAGAUUUGUAUUGAAGUGGAUAGCCCCUCCUUACACGGACAUAGGGCUCUCAGACGGAGGAUGUGGCAGUUGGUACCGACUGACCGAGACUGUGGUCCUGAGCCUGGAUCUCCUGCUCAUUCUCAUCCAGGACAGUGAUGACAGCCAUGGAAUGCUGCGUGCUGUUGCCGCAGGAGCCCUAUUACCACUGCCUGUUACAUCCUACGCAGAGGCCGUAUUCUGAGCUCGAGAGUUAGUGAAAUUCCGGAGAUGUACUGGGAUUCCAAACGGAAUGGGCUUUUCUCUGGAGCCUCAGGAAGAAGCAUGUGCGGGCGCUGCUGUUUGACAGCUCUCCUCGGCCACGGUGCCUUUCCUGUCCUGAUGUGAUCUUGCAAGAGGCACUGCUCACAGCUACUUGUGGAGACCACUUGUGGAGUCUUUAAAGAUGGGGAAAGAAUAAGCUUGUCAAGAGGAAAUGGAACACAUGUGAAAAAACAAGGAGACAAGCAAUGAUUAUAGAAAAGUCAACCUGAGCAUCGCGCUGAGCUUAAGGAGCCAAGCUGUGCCGCCGCCUCAGCGCAGCUGGGAUGUCUGCUCCCAACAGUCAGCUCUGCAGUCUCAAGGCACCGGGUUUCCCGUCUCGCAGGGAUCGCUGCUCUUCGCUGUCUGAUGUCCCGAGAGCCCGAGAAUGACUCGGACUCAAUCAAUUUCCCAUGGAGAAAAAUAAAGUUCUGAGACCAGAAUCGAAGAGGUGGUCAUUGCUUCAGAUCUGUCACUGCUUCUGAAACGGCUCAGUGAGCAGCAGGAUAAACUGAAAAAUAUGGCUUCCACCCACAUUCAAAAAAGCAGACCAAGAAUUUACUGCCUUGCCUGUCCGGGCUCAGGAUAGGAAACAGAAGCUGCUCCAGAGACGUAAAGUGGAAGUGAGUUAAGGCAGCAAUGAGGUCCUUACAAUCAGCGGAUGGAAGGGCCACAGACAUAGGUUCUGAGGUGGACCUUCUGGGACAACCGCCAAAGCGUCCCAGACCCGACUCACCAGGAACUCCCACCUCUGAGGAAAAACAGACAUGUUCACUGACAUGAGUUUGCUGGGCAAAUGGGCUCCAUGGCGUUGCUGGCGCUGAAAUGUGGAUGCGGCUGGCAGUUUAGGAGGACUCAAGGUGGGUUAUCUGCUCAGAGCAGAGGAGCAUGGUGUGGUGUGGAGGGGUAGGUGCUGUUCCUGUCCGUCCAGGCAGCCCCUCCACGUGUUCACCAGACGUGAUUCUCCGGCUUCAGAGCUGGACAUGGAUCCACAUCAGGCCAGUCUGACGUCUCAGCUCAGGAAUGAGACCCUUGACAAAGGACCCGAAGGGACUGAAGAUAGACCUGAAGCAUUUCGUGGCAGCCUUUGAGGCAGUUAUUUGGUAAUUAUGCUUUAAGGAAAUGCCCACGUGUCCUACAGUGAUUCCCGGGCAUGUCCCGAUUCCUGUCCUUUCUGAAGCACAGUUGUGCAAAAAUAUAAAUGUGUAUUUCAAGGCUGGUUGAAGACACUGGCCUUUGUCCUCAUCCAUAAGUGUAUCAGAAGCACUUGGGGAGCUGCUAAAAACCUCAUGAGUUAGUGCUACACCCUGGUGGUUGCGAUUUAAUGCGUCUGCUGGAUAGAGUGCGACUCAGGAGUGCGUAUUUUGAACAUUCUCUGGCGUGGUUCUAGUGUUCACCUAGUUGGUCAUUGAUCAUUCACCCACGUGAAUCAUUAGCCUGACAUGGAUAGCGCUGCGAUCUCUCCACGGAAACUGAAGACAGGAGUUAUCAUGGUUCACGAGGAAGCCAUGGAAGGUUUUUAAUAAGCGGGAUGUGGAGUGAGUCCAUUGGACUUGCAUUUUUAAAAGUCAUUCGUGUGCUCUCGGGAGUAUUGACUGGAGAGAGGCAAGAAGAAGGAAGAAAGAGAUCAGCUGGGAAGCUAUUGCUAGAACAGACCAGGCGAGAGAAGAUGCUGGCUUGAACUGAGAAGGUGGAAAUGGAGGUGCGGAGAAGUGGACAGGUUCAAGUCUAGGAAACAAGGUCUCAGCGCCUGAGUCUGGCAUUCUGGGCAUCCUUUAUUGUCUUCACCUACAGCCUCACGUGGAACUCUCUACCUUACAUGCUUUAUGAUCCCUCCGGGUACAGGCUGGCUUUUAUCCAGCUUCCCCUGCAAGGCGGGCCUUGCUUAUAUUCAUCGUAUUUCCUUGUCCAACCAUCGGGGAAAGACCACGGUCAGAGAUUGACCUACCCUGUGACUGAGUUUUGCAAUGAAACCUUAUCAGGUUGUUAUCCACCAUGGCAACUGGGCACCUUAACAUUAGAUGGAGGAAACAGAAUAUGCUACCAAAGGAUGUGCUGACUGGAUAAAAAGACACUGUGAUGCUGAGAGCUGGCUUUGAAGUUAAGAAAACUUUGGAUACAGCUUUACUUCCAACAGGUCACAGAGAUGUUGGAGGAGGCUGUCAAAAAGACAUGACCUCUACUGACCUGCCAGCUGGCCCCUGGCGUUGGAGGCUUCCCGACCCCCUCUCCUGUUCUUGGAACUUGUAUCUACUUGCUUUCCCGCUCCCAGAAGCUGCUCCAAGGAUACAGCCUUGAAAUAGAAACAUGGUGUUGAAGCUAUUAGGGUGAGUACACAACUGAACUCUGUUAAGGUCUCUAUAUAAACUUUCAAGAUUCUGGCAGGUGGGUACGGAGAUCAGCUCAUCUUACAGCUGCUCAAGACAAGCCUCAUGCAAAUUCCUUUGUUUAUUAAACCUUCCACCUACCAAUUUGGGGUGACCUGCCUCUUCCUUUGGUCUCUCCCUGCCCUCUGUGUACUGAGCGGUGGGAGGAGGGAGGGUGUCAUUUCAGAUUAUAUCCAGGCAGCUCCAAGGAGGUUCUGAGGCAACAAGAGUGCACGUUCUCAGAUUAACAGGACAGUGAAUCAUGCUGGUUCUUUGCCUACCUUCACAGAAGGUUUUUUUUCAUAUUAAAAAAUUCCAUUCCAUAGGUACUGAUUUUAAUCACUAUCAUUGCCACUUUAUGAAUGCUUGAAUAAUAUUGCUGGAAUUUUUUGAAGAUUUAUAUUAUUUUAUGUUAAAAUAGUAGCCAAGUGGUAACCCUAAUCAUCUGUAGAAGUUCCUACGUGUAUGAACAACAGCUUGGAUCACACAAUACUGUCAAAGUUUAGAGGUGGGUGUUUCUAUGUAUCUGCAAAAGCACUGCCUACAAGGGAGGCUAAGGCUUGAGCAGACGUUAUAAUCUCAUCGCUCGUGUCCAUGGGGGAUUGGUUCCAAUAGCUCCCACAUAUGCUGAGAUUCUCAGAUGCUCAAGUCCCAUUGUUGACCCUCCAUAUCCAUGGAUUUCACAUCCGUGGAUUCAGCCAACCUUGGAUGGAAAUUUUGAUCUAUGGUUUGGUGAAUCCAUGGAUGCCAAGCCCAAGAAUACAGUGGGACAACUGUAUGUUUAUUUGAAAAAAACCUGCCCAUAAGUGGACCAGGACAGUACAAACCCAUGUUGGUCAAAAGUCUGCUGUAAUUCAUUAAGCUUGCCAACUUUGCCAUUUUGCCAUUAUUAACUGAACUUUACAAUCUUUUGAGGUUUCCAUUAUUUUAAAAUUUCUCGUGAAAUGGGUUAACACUAUUAAUCUAUAGCAAUGCACAGACCUGUACUUUCAUUUUCAAAGAGCACAACUGUACUUUAGUUACAGAUGGCUACAAUCUUAGCCAGUUACAUUUUCAAAAAGCAGAACAUUUCUCUAAAUGCUUAGGGUCAAGUACACUAAUGCCUGACAGUGUGUACUCUCAAUGGCUUGUGGCAAUUAUCUGAACCAUAUUUGCAAAUAUCAGCAUGUGAAUAAUGCUCACAUUUGGUCAUUAGCUGAGGGUGUUAUUGUCUUGGUUCACCUGCCAAAUGUGCAAUAAGGAAGGUCACCUUUAGACGGCUAUUAAAUAUUUUCCUUAAUGUUCCAUUAUUUCCAAGUCUGCGGCCACUGUUUUAUGCCAUGUGGUUAUCUUAAUGAAAUUACUGACUUACAGUUAUGAGGUGUCAUGUGGCAUGUCUAAUAUUUAAUGAAUGUCUGACAUGACUUGAAUGAUUUCUGUUCUUGUUGAAUUGACCAGUCAGGUCUCCUCAGUACAAGAUGUUCUGUGUUGUUCUGUAAUAGAAGUCACAGUAAAGAAGAGUGCCCUGGACUUGGUGAGACACGUAUGAAGGAAGUGACCAGUGUCCUCUCUGCACAGUUUGGUGGUGAAAUGGUAGUGCUCGGAGCCUGUGACCACUGUAUGGGACAAAGGUUUGGUUUGGUUUGGCUUGGUUUGGUUUUCAAUAAAGAGCACAUUGCCUCACACUUUUAAUUUCAAUUAAAAUGAAAUUUUGGAAUAUAAAAUUCCAUAAUUAUGGAAAUUGUGAAGCAAGUGUGGCUUACACAUUUAUGCGUGUUUGCUCACACUCAGCGUGAAUGGGACUGAAGGAGGGUCCCCACUGGAGGGACCGUUGGUUUUUCUGGUCGGUCUGGGGAAGAGGGGGUGGAGGAGGUAUGACUGUACCUUCUUUCCCUUUCUUUCUUCUGCACAUCACCUCAGCUUUCUUUUUCCUGCAUAAUGUGGUGGUCACAGGACCAGGGCUGCAAAUCCACCUGCCGAAGACAGAGACAAUGAGUCCAAGCAAGGAGCUGUAACUGUGCCUUUAAAUUCCAAAGAGCCUGCCAAGGAGGGUUGCGCCCUCGCCCAUCUGGCAGAACUGGGAUGACCGUGCGUGCAGCUGUACUGCCUGCUGGUCAGGGGGGCCCACUUGUUCGGCACCCACGUAACCUUACCCUGUGUGAAUGGGGUGGACUGAGGGGUAUACUUGCUAGACCAGCAGAGCGGCCAAGCCUAAAGUCCCUUCCAAAGGUGGAAAAGUUUGGACAUAGUUGAAGAGAAGGAGGAACAGUGGUUGAGGGUAAAGGAAUGAAUACACAGAUUAUUUAAUUAGGGAAAUCCAAUAUUACAUGAACACCUCAAGAGAGGCGCAGGGCAAGAGAUGAUAUUGUUUCGUAGCUCAGUUAUACUUGAUUCCUUGAAGGGUGAAGCUGUAUACUGCUGAGAUCGCAGCUGCUCUUGGAAGCUCAGAGACAGUUAGAGGGAAGAUGGCCUCAUUCAGGGCCCAUAUAGAAAUCAAAAGAACCAACAUUGUAGCUACCAAACGCACAUUCACAUUCUAACCAUGAUUUGGCUGCAGCAAAAUGACAUUUCUGUCAUGAUAAAUCAGUGUUGUUAAUUUACAUUUAUUUUAUUUGUAUAGAAUUUAAAAUUUUGCUUUUGUCUGAUUAGUGUUAUGUGAAUUAUAAGAAAUACUUUUCUUUUGUUACUCACUCAGCUAACAUUAAAACAAAAACAAUUAAUUCGUGUUGGCUGUCUGCUAGCAUAUUCUUCCCUUUAAAAGGACCUCGUACCUGUUACGGGUCGAAUUGUGUACCACCCAGAUCUCAUAGGUCGAAGUCCUAAUCCUCAGCACCUCAGAAUAUGACCUGACUUAGCAAUAGAAUUGGGGCAGGUGUAAUUAGCUAAGAUAAGGUCAUGAUGGAGUGGAGUGGGCUCCUGAUUCGGUAUGACUGGUGUCCCUGUAAACGGGGACAUUUGGACAUAGGCUCACAUACGGGAAGAAUGCCAUGUGAACAUGAAGACGGCCACCAACAAACCAACAAUAGGCACUCGGAGCAGAUCCUUCCCUCCUGUCCCUCAGGUGGAACCACCCUGCCACAUCUUGAUUUCAGACUUCUAGCCUCCCAGACCGUGAGACAAUAUGUUCCUGUUGUUUAAGCCAGCCAGCUCAUGGUACUCUGUUAUGGCAGCCCUCGCAGCCCUGGACUGAAGUUCUGAAAAAACUAAAGAAAAAUGAAAGGAAGUCAAGAAAUUAGUAAUACCACCGAAGAGGAAAAAAAUGGCCUCCAGAUUCCAUCAUUUCCUGUGCGUUGCCUUUGCUUGUUUCUAUGGCAAAUGAAAGCAGAAUGGAAAUUACUCACACUCCACCAGGAACCUGGAUGCAAACCCACUUGCAGAAGGGCCUUCAGGACUCGAGCAGCACAGGAGCUGAAGCUCACUCCAAGAGGGCAGCGUUGUCCCGCCGCAGUGUUGCAUAACUGAAGCACGGAGCCCCAGGGUUGUGGCACACGGAGACUAUAUAUGGUGCGUUUGAGAUCUGAAACGAUGACUUCUUUUUAGAAGACAGCAAACAGCAGAUCGGGGAGCAGUGAAGUUUCAGGAGCUUGCUGAAGAGCUUCCCAAGAGAGAAGUUCAUCUCCUCCGAAGGAAUAGACUUUGCCAUAUUUUUAUGGAGAGCAUCUUCUCUAAAGAAGGAGUCCUGUGUUUUCUGCUAGCAUCUGUGGAGUUGUAGCAGGCUCACUUAUUAGCCUGAAAAUAGGAUAACAUCUCAGAUCCUUCCAGUAAGUGAGAACAGUAAGGUAAGA
Vicugna pacos (alpaca) is the source of this 6978-nucleotide non-coding RNA. The record is from RefSeq and is a predicted model, not a curated record. Lineage: Eukaryota; Metazoa; Chordata; Mammalia; Artiodactyla; Camelidae.